UCCGGAUUUAUUGGGUUUAAAGGGAGCGUAGGCCGGAGAUUAAGCGUGUUGUGAAAUGCCGCGGCUCAACCGUGGCACUGCAGCGCGAACUGGUUUUCUUGAGUGCGCGCGACGCAGGCGGAAUUCGUGGUGUAGCGGUGAAAUGCUUAGAUAUCACGAGGAACCCCGAUUGCGAAGGCAGCUUGCGGGAGCGCAACUGACGCUGAAGCUCGAAGGUGCGGGUAUCGAACAGGAUUAGAUACCCUGGUAGUCCGCACGGUAAACGAUGGAUGCCCGCUGUUCCGUUAUAUGAUGGAGUGGCCAAGCGAAAGCGUUAAGCAUCCCACCUGGGGAGUACGCCGGCAACGGUGAAACUCAAAGGAAUUGACGGGGGCCCGCACAAGCGGAGGAACAUGUGGUUUAAUUCGAUGAUACGCGAGGAACCUUACCCGGGCUUGAACUGCCGGUGAACGAUACAGAGAUGUUGAGGCCCUUCGGGGCGCCGGUGGAGGUGCUGCAUGGUUGUCGUCAGCUCGUGCCGUGAGGUGUCGGCUUAAGUGCCAUAACGAGCGCAACCCCUUUUCUUAGUUGCCAUCGGGUGAUGCCGGGCACUCUGGGAAUACUGCCGCCGCAAGGUGGAGGAAGGUGGGGAUGACGUCAAAUCAGCACGGCCCUUACGUCCGGGGCUACACACGUGUUACAAUGGCGCGUACAGAGGGUCGGCUUACGGCGACGUUGGUCCAAUCCCUAAAACGCGUCUCAGCUCGGACUGGGGUCUGCAACCCGACCCCACGAAGCUGG
RNAcentral lists this ribosomal RNA (780 nucleotides) under uncultured Bacteroidota bacterium. RNAcentral describes it as "bacterial SSU rRNA". It matches the Rfam family "Bacterial small subunit ribosomal RNA", at positions 544 to 1329 of the family's 1533-position model. Lineage: Bacteria; Pseudomonadati; Bacteroidota. The record is from RNAcentral.